UAAGUGCUUUUAUGUUGGGAUUU
This 23-nucleotide microRNA is filed under the name Callorhinchus milii (elephant shark). RNAcentral's name for it is "Cmi-Mir-430-P3_3p (mature (guide))". The record is from RNAcentral. Lineage: Eukaryota; Metazoa; Chordata; Chondrichthyes; Chimaeriformes; Callorhinchidae. RNAcentral also lists the same sequence under 1 other name.